AGAGUCACGGGUGGAUCGUGUUGCUGUUUCAUUUUAAUAUGUGUUUAAACUAAUGUAAGCCGUUUGAGCGGUGCCUACUUGGAAACAGCAUAUUAUCAACAUUGUAGAAGAAAGCCUGUGGAAAUGAUAAGUACACAGCCAGAGAGUAAUCCAAAGCAUGAGUUCUGAGCUCCGGUGGGGGUUCCAUCACCUUGGGAUGGAGUAAGCUGACCAAGACUUGGGAAAGGUGGUUUGUACGACGACGGUGUUCCUGAGAGAACACCGAACAGGCAUUGCCCAGGAAGAGAAACACUUAUUUGGCGAGCAGUCUUCAAAGUCAAGUUGGAAGCCCUGUGAAGAGGAGAGGCCUACGGACAACAGCACAGGAGAUGCUGUGUAUUGGGAAGGAUCCAAGGUCCCCCAGCGGGACCAGGUAGAGGGUCUGCUACAGAGACUAUGUAAGGGACAAUUCUCGGGCUGGAGAGAUGGCUCAGUGGUUAAGAGCACUGACUGUUCUCCCAGAGGUCCUGAGUUCAAUUCCCAGCAACCACAUGGUAACUUACAAUCAUCUGUAAUGGGACCUGAUGCCCUCUUCUGGUGUGUCUGAAGACAGCUACAGUGUACUUGUAAUCAAUCAAUCAAUCAGAGAGAGAGAGAGAGAGAGAGAGAGAGAGAGAAAGAGAGAGAGAGUUUGUUCUCCAGUUUGAAGGAAAGUCAAGAAGUCUGCUGAUUUGGUUCCCACGGGUCUUUCCUGACUUCCCAGAAUCUCCUCACCAUGCCUUCACACCACAGAGAGAACCCUGGUUCCCUCGUCCUCUUACAGAAACAGUUCCACCCUGAGGACCCCACCCUCCAACCUUACGUAAGCUUCAGCAGGAACCUGACUUGCUCAUACCUUUGGGUCUCAGGACUGUGAUGAAUUUCUGUUGAGCCACCUGCCCUGAUAUGUUGUGAGAGGAGCCGCAGCAGACGGUUGCUACCACUAUUGUGAUGUAUUAAUUAGACUCCAUUAGCCUUCUGUGUUAUGUCUGUGUUCUCCUGUGUAAAACGGGGCGGUCCUAAAGAGGCCUCAGCUGAUCAAAAGAGGGGCUUGGGCUUGAACGUGGAGAUUGAUGCCUAUGUGGCUGGAUGCUAUGGAUGGGAAUAGAUUGCACCUAACAGAUUUCAUCCAGCAGCAUGGAAGACCCAGGCCUCAGGAACAGGAUGGCAUCAAAGACAAACCCUUCCUUCCGUCUUGGACCUUGCAGACUCCAGAACUGUACUAAAUAUAUUUGUGUUCAUUGCCAAUCA
Molecule: long non-coding RNA, 1269 nt
Organism: Rattus norvegicus (Norway rat)
Lineage: Eukaryota; Metazoa; Chordata; Mammalia; Rodentia; Muridae
Source: RefSeq, a predicted model, not a curated record